AAAAAGGGAAUUCAUGGCCAAAAAUGGUGGUGCUCUCUGUCCAAAAACUAAGGCCCUAUGACCGUGAAUGAAGCUGGAGGACAGGUAGGAACAGAUCAUUUGUUCCAGGAGAAGCCAGAUGCCAUGUCUUGAGGACAGUCAACCCUCUGGGGAGGUUCCUAUGGUAAGGAACCAAGGCUCCUGGCAAUAGCCUCUGAGUGAGCCACCUUGAGAAUGGAUUGUCCAGCCCCAGUCAAACUUUCAGAGAUGACUGUAGCCCCUGCCAAUGUCUUCACCACAACCUCAUGAGAUCACAAGCUACAACUACUCAGAACUUCACCUUUUGAGAAGCACCAGGGAGAGCUAGCUGCCUGUGCCUGGUGGAAGCUGCCCAUGCCCCACUGAUACCCCACAGUACUUCCUGUUCUGCUCAGUACUCCUGCUUCUUUCUGCAAACAACUGUGAUUCUCCACCUGGGAGCUUCCUCUGGCCACAGGAGCCUGCUCACCUGAAUGGGAUACCCCAGCAGUACUGGUGAGUUACAGCUUCCAGGAGCAGCUCUCCUCCAGCAAAGGAAAGGGUUGGCUAGUGUGUGGGACAAUGUUAAGACAUGCUCCACACAGUAAUGCAGGGGUCUCAGCAAGAUGGAGCCCCAAUUGUCCACAGUAGUAACUUGCCAGUAGAUGCCUGCAUUGACUUUCUUCCCUGCUGUGCCUUUCUUCCCACUCUCCUGCCAGUGCUUCCUGGAAUCAUCUCCCUCAUCAAUCAUUUGUUCCAAAAUUCUGUCUGAGUCUGUUUCUGAGGAAACCCAACCUGAGUCAUCAUCCCUCUUCCCCCCGUCACACUGUCUUCACUGGGGGAGGAUGGAUUGAGUUGACUGGCAAAUUUUAGAGAAGGAGUUUGCAUUGGAGUGCGUGACUCAGCUGAGGUUGGGUGUGUUUUCUCAGAGAUAAGUACAUUCAGAUUCAAUGUGUAUCCUGUCUUCAGGAAGCCCCAUGGUCUGUUCAUCUUAGCAUGAUUACUAAGCUACACUCUGUCCUUUCAAGGGGAAGGCCUGAGAUUUUCAGUUGGCAAGCUCAGUGAAAGCUGGAUGUUUUCUGUAACCUGAUUGUGGAUGUAGAUCAAUCCAUGCUUUUCAAUUCAGUCCUCUCUCUAAUAAACUGCUCGUAUGAACCC
This is a long non-coding RNA of Rhinopithecus roxellana (golden snub-nosed monkey), 1155 nucleotides long. RefSeq lists it as uncharacterized. The transcript is spliced from 3 exons. Lineage: Eukaryota; Metazoa; Chordata; Mammalia; Primates; Cercopithecidae. The record is from RefSeq and is a predicted model, not a curated record.